RNAcentral lists this long non-coding RNA (210 nucleotides) under Monodelphis domestica (gray short-tailed opossum). RNAcentral describes it as "lncRNA (ENSMODG00000038465.1)". Lineage: Eukaryota; Metazoa; Chordata; Mammalia; Didelphimorphia; Didelphidae. The record is from RNAcentral.
CCAUACUAAUAAGCUCUGGAGCUCUCUAAUUUUACUGGUCAUACAUAUAUAAUAUCACCUAAUACAUACUUCCGUGUUUGUCAUGUUGUGAAAGAAGAAAUGUAUUUCUUACCAGAGAAAAUUCAUGGAGGAAAGAAAGAAUGGUAUGUCUCAAUUUCUUUUUGAACUUCAUGUGUUCCUUCUAUGGCAGUAAAUGCCAUUUGUUUUGUC